GUCCCUAUCCACUGCGGGCGCAGGAGGCUUGAGGGGAGCCGCUCCUAGUACGAGAGGACCGGAGUAGACGCACCUCUGGUGUACCGGUUGUCCUGCCAAGGGCACGCGCCGGGUAGCUAUGUGCGGACGGGAUAAGCGCUGAAAGCAUCUAAGCGCGAAGCCCACCCCAAGAUGAGGCCUCCCACCGGGUAACCGGGUAAGACCCCAGGAGGACUACCUGGUUGAUAGGCCGGAGGUGUAAGGGCCGCAAGGCCUUGAGCCUACCGGUACUAAUCGGUCGAGGGCUUGAAGG
RNAcentral lists this ribosomal RNA (292 nucleotides) under Candidatus Segetimicrobium genomatis. RNAcentral describes it as "Terrabacteria group bacterium ANGP1 partial 23S ribosomal RNA". It matches the Rfam family "Bacterial large subunit ribosomal RNA", at positions 2634 to 2925 of the family's 2925-position model. Lineage: Bacteria; Bacillati; Candidatus Sysuimicrobiota; Candidatus Sysuimicrobiia; Candidatus Sysuimicrobiales; Candidatus Segetimicrobiaceae. The record is from RNAcentral.